This 57-nucleotide transfer RNA is filed under the name Muntiacus reevesi (Reeves' muntjac). It matches the Rfam family "tRNA", at positions 8 to 63 of the family's 71-position model. From Rfam's summary of the family: Transfer RNA (tRNA) molecules are approximately 80 nucleotides in length. The record is from Rfam by way of RNAcentral. RNAcentral also lists the same sequence under 1 other name. Lineage: Eukaryota; Metazoa; Chordata; Mammalia; Artiodactyla; Cervidae.
UAGCUCAGUUGGUAAAGAACCUGCCUGCAAUGCAGGAGACCCUGGUUCAAUUCCUGG